GAUGGCGCAUCCUACACUGCAAGUCGUACGCGCAGAACCGAGGUGCUUGCACCUUUCAAGCGAGUGGCGAACGGGUGAGUAACACGUGGAUAACCUGCCUCAAGGCUGGGGAUAACAUUUGGAAACAGAUGCUAAUACCGAAUAAAACUUAGUAUCGCAUGAUAUCAAGUUAAAAGGCGCUACGGCGUCACCUAGAGAUGGAUCCGCGGUGCAUUAGUUAGUUGGUGGGGUAAAGGCUUACCAAGACGAUGAUGCAUAGCCGAGUUGAGAGACUGAUCGGCCACAUUGGGACUGAGACACGGCCCAAACUCCUACGGGAGGCUGCAGUAGGGAAUCUUCCACAAUGGGCGCAAGCCUGAUGGAGCAACGCCGCGUGUGUGAUGAAGGCUUUCGGGUCGUAAAGCACUGUUGUAUGGGAAGAAAUGCUAAAAUAGGGAAUGAUUUUAGUUUGACGGUACCAUACCAGAAAGGGACGGCUAAAUACGUGCCAGCAGCCGCGGUAAUACGUAUGUCCCGAGCGUUAUCCGGAUUUAUUGGGCGUAAAGCGAGCGCAGACGGUUGAUUAAGUCUGAUGUGAAAGCCCGGAGCUCAACUCCGGAAUGGCAUUGGAAACUGGUUAACUUGAGUGUUGUAGAGGUAAGUGGAACUCCAUGUGUAGCGGUGGAAUGCGUAGAUAUAUGGAAGAACACCAGUGGCGAAGGCGGCUUACUGGACAACAACUGACGUUGAGGCUCGAAAGUGUGGGUAGCAAACAGGAUUAGAUACCCUGGUAGUCCACACCGUAAACGAUGAAUACUAGGUGUUAGGAGGUUUCCGCCUCUUAGUGCCGAAGCUAACGCAUUAAGUAUUCCGCCUGGGGAGUACGACCGCAAGGUUGAAACUCAAAGGAAUUGACGGGGACCCGCACAAGCGGUGGAGCAUGUGGUUUAAUUCGAAGCAACGCGAAGAACCUUACCAGGUCUUGACAUCCUUUGAAGCUUUUAGAGAUAGAAGUGUUCUCUUCGGAGACAAAGUGACAGGUGGUGCAUGGUCGUCGUCAGCUCGUGUCGUGAGAUGUUGGGUUAAGUCCCGCAACGAGCGCAACCCUUAUUGUUAGUUGCCAGCAUUCAGUUGGGCACUCUAGCGAGACUGCCGGUGACAAACCGGAGGAAGGCGGGGACGACGUCAGAUCAUCAUGCCCCUUAUGACCUGGGCUACACACGUGCUACAAUGGCGUAUACAACGAGUUGCCAACCUGCGAAGGUGAGCUAAUCUCUUAAAGUACGUCUCAGUUCGGACUGCAGUCUGCAACUCGACUGCACGAAGUCGGAAUCGCUAGUAAUCGCGGAUCAGCACGCCGCGGUGAAUACGUUCCCGGGUCUUGUACACACCGCCCGUCACACCAUGGGAGUUUGUAAUGCCCAAAGCCGCUUGGACUAACCUUCUGCUCGAAGCCGUCUACUGCAGCAGCAA
RNAcentral lists this ribosomal RNA (1452 nucleotides) under Leuconostoc citreum. Its description in RNAcentral is "bacterial SSU rRNA". It matches the Rfam family "Bacterial small subunit ribosomal RNA". The record is from RNAcentral. Lineage: Bacteria; Bacillati; Bacillota; Bacilli; Lactobacillales; Lactobacillaceae.